RNAcentral lists this ribosomal RNA (253 nucleotides) under uncultured bacterium. RNAcentral describes it as "partial 16S ribosomal RNA". It matches the Rfam family "Bacterial small subunit ribosomal RNA", at positions 524 to 776 of the family's 1533-position model. The record is from RNAcentral.
UACGGAGGGGGCUAGCGUUGUCCGGAAUUAUUGGGCGUAAAGGGCUCGUAGGCGGUUUGUCGCGUCGGGAGUGAAAACACCGGGCUUAACUCGGUGCUUGCUUCCGAUACGGGCAGACUAGAGGCAUGCAGGGGAGAACGGAAUUCCUGGUGUAGCGGUGAAAUGCGCAGAUAUCAGGAGGAACACCGGUGGCGAAGGCGGUUCUCUGGGCAUGUCCUGACGCUGAGGAGCGAAAGUGUGGGGAGCGAACAGG